CCCGAAAGCCUGAAAAGGAGGUGGGAUGAGAAGCUCAGUGUGUCCUGGAAGGAGCAGCUUGGGACCAACUCAGUGUAGGUAUGAGACCUCACACCAGCACUCGCCAGCUCUGUGUCUUUAGUGCAGCCUCCUCUUUAGUAAGGCUGGAACAUCAGUGCCUCCCUGAAAUGAACCGUCAGGAGACGUUAGCUAGCGCUCUCUUUCCUAGGCAGAACCCGGAGCUCCCCAACGUUGAGGACGGGUUAAGAACAAAUAUCCAUCCCAGGAGUGUGUAGUUGUAUAUGGGGCCGAUGGCUUUAGGGAUUUUCAUGCACUAAUUCCCAAAUCUUUCUCUCACUGUAAAUAUCCUCCUCCUCCCCCGCACAGAUGGCUGAUGACCUGGAGGACUUCCCCACCCCAACAGCAACCCAGCUGUUCUGGGCCAACAUCGCCACCUGGUGGGCAGGGUGGAGAAUUGCCCCACUCGCCUGACCUCACCUCUUUGUUUUCCUGCUUGAAAAUUAAAAAUAUAUAACCUGUUUGACCCCCGAUACCUUCUCUAUCCCAGUUUGUGUUCCCAGUAACCUGAGGAAAAUGUAAAUGUGCUUGUAAAUCAUUCCUUUGUCA
Non-coding RNA from Callorhinus ursinus (northern fur seal), 606 nucleotides. Lineage: Eukaryota; Metazoa; Chordata; Mammalia; Carnivora; Otariidae. The record is from RefSeq and is a predicted model, not a curated record.